This 460-nucleotide ribosomal RNA is filed under the name uncultured bacterium. RNAcentral describes it as "partial 16S ribosomal RNA". It matches the Rfam family "Bacterial small subunit ribosomal RNA", at positions 338 to 795 of the family's 1533-position model. The record is from RNAcentral.
CCUACGGGCGGCAGCAGUGAGGAAUAUUGGUCAAUGGGCGGGAGCCUGAACCAGCCAAGUCGCGUGAGGGAAGACGGUCCUAUGGAUUGUAAACCUCGUUAGGCGGGGAGCAAUGCCGGGCACGUGUGCGCGGAGGGAGAGUACCCGCAGAAUAAGCAUCGGCUAACUCCGUGCCAGCAGCCGCGGUAAUACGGAGGAUGCGAGCGUUAUCCGGAUUUAUUGGGUUUAAGGGGUGCGUAGGCGGAUUUUUAAGUCAGCGGUAAAAGGUCCGGGCUCAACCCGGGCCGGCCGUUGAAACUGGGGAUCUUGAGUGGGCGAGAAGUAUGCGGAAUGCGUGGUGUAGCGGUGAAAUGCAUAGAUAUCACGCAGAACUCCGAUUGCGAAGGCAGCAUACCGGCGCCCGACUGACGCUGAGGCACGAAAGCGUGGGGAUCGAACAGGAUUAGAUACCCGAGUAGUC